CCCUUAGAUGUUCUGGGCUGCACACGUGCUACACUGGCAGGUUCAGCGAGCUUCAUGCCCUGAUCUGAAAGGAAUGGGAAAUCUUUUCAAAACCUGCCGUGCUUGGGAUAGAUGUUUGCAAUUAUUCAUCUUCAACGAGGAUUGCCUUGUAAGCGCACGUCAUCAGCGUGCAUUGAAUACGACCCUGUAUUCUGUACACACCGCCCGUCGCUCCUACCGAUUGAAGUUUUCGGUGAGUUGACAGGAGGAUUUUUUUGAAACUGGUUCGCCAGUGGAUUUUAGAUCCAAAUGCCAACGAAUCGAUGGCUUUAGAGGAAGGUGAAGUCGUAACA
RNAcentral lists this ribosomal RNA (332 nucleotides) under uncultured eukaryote. RNAcentral's name for it is "partial 18S ribosomal RNA". It matches the Rfam family "Eukaryotic small subunit ribosomal RNA", at positions 1470 to 1796 of the family's 1831-position model. The record is from RNAcentral.